UUAACUAUUGUAUAGUACUCAGACGACACAGACAGACAGAGUUUGGGUCCUCUGGCAGGCGCAGACCAGCCGAAGCCGGCGGUCCGAAGACGGGCCUGCCAAAGCAACAAAGGUACGGUAAACAAAGGGUGGGAGGUAUACCCCGAAGGGCAACGUCUCUUUAAUGAUCCUUCCGCAGGUUCACCUACGGAAA
RNAcentral lists this unclassified non-coding RNA (193 nucleotides) under uncultured fungus. RNAcentral describes it as "sequence contains ITS1". The record is from RNAcentral. Lineage: Eukaryota; Fungi.